This 48-nucleotide non-coding RNA is filed under the name Escherichia coli K-12. Lineage: Bacteria; Pseudomonadati; Pseudomonadota; Gammaproteobacteria; Enterobacterales; Enterobacteriaceae. The record is from RNAcentral.
UGUUGGUUCUCCCGCAACGCGGAAGCGUGUGCCGGGAUGUAGCUGGCA